GUGUCAGCAGCCGCGGUAAUACGUAGGUGGCAAGCGUUGUCCGGAUUUAUUGGGUUUAAAGGGUGCGUAGGCGGCUUUGUAAGUCAGUGGUGAAAUAUGGCAGCUCAACUGUCAGGGUGCCAUUGAUACUGCGGAGCUUGAGUACAGAUGAGGUAGGCGGAAUUGACGGUGUAGCGGUGAAAUGCUUAGAUAUCGUCAAGAACACCGAUAGCGAAGGCAGCUUACUGGGCUGUAACUGACGCUGAGGCACGAAAGUGUGGGGAUCAAACAGGAUUAGAAACCCCCGUAGUCC
Molecule: ribosomal RNA, 292 nt
Filed under: uncultured bacterium
Lineage: Bacteria
Description: partial 16S ribosomal RNA
Rfam family: Bacterial small subunit ribosomal RNA
Source: RNAcentral